GAUGAACGCUGGCGGCGUGCUUAACACAUGCAAGUCGAACGGAAAGGCCCCAGCUUGCUGGGGUACUCGAGUGGCGAACGGGUGAGUAACACGUGGGUGAUCUGCCCUGCACUUUGGGAUAAGCUUGGGAAACUGGGUCUAAUACCGAAUAUGACCACUUCUUGGAUGUUGUGGGGGAAAGCUUUUGCGGUGUGGGAUGAGCCUGCGGCCUAUCAGCUUGUUGGUGGGGUAAUGGCCUACCAAGGCGGCGACGGGUAUCCGGCCUGAGAGGGUGUACGGACAGAUUGGGACUGAGAUCCGGCCCAGACUCCUACGGGAGGCAGCAGUGGGGAAUAUUGCACAAUGGGCGCAAGCCUGAUGCAGCGACGCCGCGUGGGGGAUGAAGGCCUUCGGGUUGUAAACUCCUUUCGCUAUCGACGAAGCCACUUGUGGUGACGGUAGGUAGAUAAGAAGCACCGGCUAACUACGUGCCAGCAGCCGCGGUAA
This 486-nucleotide ribosomal RNA is filed under the name uncultured bacterium. RNAcentral describes it as "partial 16S ribosomal RNA". It matches the Rfam family "Bacterial small subunit ribosomal RNA", at positions 28 to 523 of the family's 1533-position model. The record is from RNAcentral.